Molecule: ribosomal RNA, 429 nt
Filed under: Verrucomicrobiota bacterium
Lineage: Bacteria; Pseudomonadati; Verrucomicrobiota
Description: Verrucomicrobia bacterium partial 16S ribosomal RNA
Rfam family: Bacterial small subunit ribosomal RNA
Source: RNAcentral
UAGGGAAUCUUCCGCAAUGGACGAAAGUCUGACGGAGCAACGCCGCGUGAGUGAAGAAGGAUUUCGGUUCGUAAAACUCUGUUGUUAGGGAAGAAAAAAUGUAUAGUAACUAUAUACAAAAGAGACGGUACCUAACCAGAAAGCCACGGCUAACUACGUGCCAGCAGCCGCGGUAAUACGUAGGUGGCAAGCGUUGUCCGGAAUUAUUGGGCGUAAAGCGCGCGCAGGUGGUUUAGAAAGUCUGAUGUGAAAGCCCACGGCUCAACCGUGGAGGGUCAUUGGAAACUAAUAAACUUGGGUGCAGGAGAGAAAAGUGGCAUUCCUAGUGUAGCGGUGAAAUGCGGAGAAAAUAGGAGGAACACCGGUGGCGAAAGCGGCUUUUUGGCCUGCAACUGACACUGAGGCGCGAAAGCGUGGGGAGCAAACAGG